CAUGUAUGACAUUAGGUAUUUAAAACUCAGUUCAAAAUGGGCUAAGGUGAGCUGUACAUUUAUCCCGUAUUUGUAAGUUACUAUAUUGGGCAUUUUUGUAAUUGUAUUGCAAUGCAUAUGCAACCAUUGGGGAUACAAAAUACAAUCAUACUCAUAAUACGAUAACAUCAAGAUCGUAGAAAAGCUAUUUUCCGUCCGCCUCUCAAAUCCGUUCAUCACUAUCUCAGAGCGUCCAUGAAACUACGAGUGAAUGAGAAAAUUGGGGGCCUGGGAAGCAGCUAAAGAAUCGAAGGAGAAGCAGCCGCUUAAGGCGAUAAGCAGCACCUUGGUAGGUGUGAGCAAAUAAUGAAAAAUAAGGAAAAUACGUACAAAUGUAGGUAAAAGGCAGCUGCAGAUAGCGAAAAUCCGAGCUGAACGUGCAAUUUAGGGGAUCGGAUACCCGCAAGGUUCCAGGAAGCGGGAGGAAGCUACUCGUUCCGCUUGCCCUUCAAGAGAGUUCAAACACUCUCUGCCAAACCAAAGCAAAUGCAAGCGGGAAAGCGGGGAAAAGCGGAGGCAAACAAUAAGGCAAAAAGACAAGCGCAACAAUCGUCACGUAGCCCAGCACACACACCAAUGCGCAAUUGGCACACGCACAUGCGAGCGACCCACACAAACGCAAGGCAGCCACACGCACAGGCGUUAAUGCGAUAGCCAAGUGAGUCAGAAAGAGAUGGUCGCCAGCGAAGGGAGUGUGAGUAGGUCAGCGAUACUGUAGAUAUUUAAAUUGUUUAAUACAAGUAUCUGCUAAAAAUGCUUUGAAGAAACACUAAGAAAGAUGAGCCACAAACGGCGGAAGCACGCGGAAGCUAGGCAAAUGUGCGAACCACAGAAUUGGGUCAACGGCCCAGUUCAAAGUCGCCGCCAAACAACGUGCACGCAGAGAAAUCGGGGAGACUUUUCAAAGCGCCAUUAAAAUAAUGAAACAUCCCAGAAAUCUGACCAAUAUUCUGUAACCAAUCAAAUUGGUAACGAAAAAAAAUCAAAAGUAUCUUGUGGAAUAGGAAUAAAGAUUAUUCUAUCUUCUGCCCUUUC
Drosophila simulans is the source of this 1074-nucleotide long non-coding RNA. RefSeq lists it as uncharacterized. NCBI's taxonomy places the organism in Eukaryota, Metazoa, Arthropoda, Insecta, Diptera, Drosophilidae. The record is from RefSeq and is a predicted model, not a curated record. The transcript has 2 exons.